RNAcentral lists this ribosomal RNA (253 nucleotides) under uncultured bacterium. RNAcentral's name for it is "partial 16S ribosomal RNA". It matches the Rfam family "Bacterial small subunit ribosomal RNA", at positions 524 to 776 of the family's 1533-position model. The record is from RNAcentral.
CACGUAGGGGGCAAGCGUUGUCCGGAAUCAUUGGGCGUAAAGAGCUCGUAGGCGGCCACUCAAGUCGAAUGUGAAACCUCGAGGCUUAACCUCGAGCCUGCAUUCGAUACUGGGCGGCUAGAGUCUGGUAGGGGGAUCUGGAAUUCCUGGUGUAGCGGUGGAAUGCGCAGAUAUCAGGAGGAACACCGGUGGCGAAGGCGGGAUCCUGGGCCAGUACUGACGCUGAGGAGCGAAAGCGUGGGGAGCAAACAGG